Molecule: transfer RNA, 73 nt
Filed under: bacterium
Lineage: Bacteria
Description: tRNA-Val
Rfam family: tRNA
About the family: Transfer RNA (tRNA) molecules are approximately 80 nucleotides in length. Their secondary structure includes four short double-helical elements and three loops (D, anti-codon, and T loops).
Source: RNAcentral
GGGCGGUUAGCUCAGUUGGUAGAGCACGGCAUUCACAUUGCCGGGGUCACAGGUUCGAGCCCUGUACCGCCCA